UACGUAGGGUGCGAGCGUUGUCCGGAAUUAUUGGGCGUAAAGAGCUCGUAGGCGGUUUGUUGCGUCUAUCGUGAAAACUAGCAGCUUAACUGUUGGCGUGCGGUGGAUACGGGCAGACUUGAGUUCGGUAGGGGAGACUGGAAUUCCUGGUGUAGCGGUGAAAUGCGCAGAUAUCAGGAGGAACACCGGUGGCGAAGGCGGGUCUCUGGGCCAAUACUGACGCUGAGGAGCGAAAGCGUGGGGAGCGAACAGG
RNAcentral lists this ribosomal RNA (253 nucleotides) under uncultured bacterium. Its description in RNAcentral is "partial 16S ribosomal RNA". It matches the Rfam family "Bacterial small subunit ribosomal RNA", at positions 524 to 776 of the family's 1533-position model. The record is from RNAcentral.